RNAcentral lists this ribosomal RNA (514 nucleotides) under uncultured bacterium. RNAcentral's name for it is "partial 16S ribosomal RNA". It matches the Rfam family "Bacterial small subunit ribosomal RNA", at positions 28 to 523 of the family's 1533-position model. The record is from RNAcentral.
GACGAACGCUGGCGGCGUGCCUAAUACAUGCAAGUCGAGCGAACGGCGAAGAAGCUUGCUUCUUCAAUGUUAGCGGCGGACGGGUGAGUAACACGUGGGCAAUCUGCCCGUAAGACUGGGAUAACUCCGGGAAACCGGGGCUAAUACCGGAUAACACUUUUCAUCUCCUGGUGGAAAGUUGAAAGAUGGUUUCGGCUAUCACUUACGGAUGAGCCGGCGGCGCAUUAGCUAGUUGGUGAGGUAACGGCUCACCAAGGCGACGAUGCGUAGCCGACCUGAGAGGGUGAUCGGCCACACUGGGACUGAGACACGGCACAGACUCCUACGGGAGGCAGCAGUAGGGGAUCUUCCGCAAUGGACGAAAGUCUGACGGAGCAACGCCGCGUGAGUGAAGAAGGUUUUCGGAUCGUAAAACUCUGUUGUUAGGGAAGAACACGUACGAGAGUAACUGCUCGUACCUUGACGGUACCUAACCAGAAAGCCACGGCUAACUACGUGCCAGCCGCCGCCGUAA